This 761-nucleotide long non-coding RNA is filed under the name Rattus norvegicus (Norway rat). RNAcentral describes it as "long non-coding RNA NONRATT004843". The record is from RNAcentral. Lineage: Eukaryota; Metazoa; Chordata; Mammalia; Rodentia; Muridae.
AAUUAUCAGCAGGCCCAGUCUCGUCACCUGCGCUUAUCGUAUUUGGGGUCUCCACCCUUGAGGAGUGUCUCAGAUAAUACCCUGGUGGCCAUGGACUUCUCUGGCCAUGCUGGGCGUGUCAUUGAGAACCCCCAGGAAGCUCUGAGUGCUGCCACGGAGGAAGCCCAGGCCUGGAGGGUAAGGCCUUCACACACCUAUGCAUCUGCUGUACUGGCUCCCAAUGGGCGUUCGUGGAGGGAGGGAGGAAGGAAAAGGGCUUGGGGAUCCAGUGAAUGCCAAGGGCUCCUUGACUUCCAUGUCCUCCAUUGCAGAAGAAGACAAACCACCGUCUCAGCCUGCCCACCCCGUGCUCCGGCCUGAGCCUCAGUGCAGCUAUCCAUCGCACCCAGCCCUGGUUUCAUGGACGAAUCUCCCGGGAGGAGAGCCAGCGGCUAAUUGGACAGCAGGGCCUGGUGGAUGGGUAAGGGGCUGGGCUGGGCUGGGUAACAGACCUGGGGGCCGGAAAGUCCCUAGAGCAGUUGUAACCAGGAACCCCUGAUAAUGCUACUUUGUUUCCCCCACAGUGUAUUCCUGGUCCGGGAGAGCCAGCGGAACCCACAGGGCUUCGUUCUGUCUCUGUGCCAUCUGCAGAAAGUCAAACAUUAUCUCAUCUUGCCAGUGAGUAACUCCCCUACCCCUGAGCUAGGUUCUUGUAGCCCGGAGAUAUGAGACUUGAAGCCCCACUACGCACCUCCUUUCUCCCUGUACAAGAAACGGGGGUC